This 726-nucleotide ribosomal RNA is filed under the name uncultured Peptoniphilus sp. RNAcentral's name for it is "bacterial SSU rRNA". It matches the Rfam family "Bacterial small subunit ribosomal RNA", at positions 65 to 791 of the family's 1533-position model. Lineage: Bacteria; Bacillati; Bacillota; Tissierellia; Tissierellales; Peptoniphilaceae. The record is from RNAcentral.
AGCGAURAAACUUUAACAGAACCCUUCGGGGCGAAGAUAAAGUGGAUUAGCGGCGGACGGGUGAGUAACACGUGAGUAACCUGCCUUAGACAUUGGGAUAGCCUCGGGAAACCGGGAUUAAUACCAAAUAAAAUCAUAAUGACACAUGUCAUAACGAUCAAAACUCCGGUGGUCUAAGAUGGACUCGCGUCCCAUUAGCUAGUUGGUAGAGUAAAAGCCUACCAAGGCGACGAUGGGUAGCCGGCCUGAGAGGGUGAACGGCCACAUUGGAACUGAGAAACGGUCCAAACUCCUACGGGAGGCAGCAGUGGGGAAUAUUGCACAAUGGAGGGAACUCUGAUGCAGCGACGCCGCGUGAACGAAGAAGGCUUUCGAGUCGUAAAGUUCUUUUAUAUGGGAAGAUAAUGACGGUACCAUAAGAAAAAGCCCCGGCUAACUACGUGCCAGCAGCCGCGGUAAUACGUAGGGGGCUAGCGUUGUCCGGAAUCACUGGGCGUAAAGGGUUCGCAGGCGGAAAUGCAAGUCAGAUGUAAAAGGCAGUAGCUUAACUACUGUAAGCAUUUGAAACUGCAUAUCUUGAGAAGAGUAGAGGUAAGUGGAAUUUUUAGUGUAGCGGUGAAAUGCGUAGAUAUUAAAAAGAAUACCGGUGGCGAAGGCGACUUGCUGGGCUCAUUCUGACGCUGAGGAACGAAAGCGUGGGUAGCAAACAGGAUUAGAUACCCUGGU